UAUAUAUCUGUCAAUGAUGCAUACAGAGUAAUCUAUGAUAAAGAGUGAUUAAGAUCAUACUUUAUUCGUCACUACCUCUGAGACAGAAUAGG
Small nucleolar RNA from Lytechinus pictus (painted urchin), 92 nucleotides. RefSeq annotates it as small nucleolar RNA SNORD70. The record is from RefSeq and is a predicted model, not a curated record. The transcript has a single exon. Lineage: Eukaryota; Metazoa; Echinodermata; Echinoidea; Temnopleuroida; Toxopneustidae.